GACGAACGCUGGCGGCGUGCUUAACACAUGCAAGUCGAACGGUAAGGCCUUUCGGGGGACGCGAGUGCCGAACGGGAGAGUAACACGUAGGUGAUCUUCACUGCACUUCGGCAUAGGCACGAGUAACUGGAUCUAAUACCGGAUACGGCUACGCGCUCCAGCCCCUUUGGGGGAGAGGUUUAUCGGUGGAGGAUGGGCCCGCGGCCUAUCAGCUUGUUGGUGGGGUAAUGGCCUACCAAGGCCACGACGGGUAGCCGGCCUGAGAGGGCGACCGGCCACACUGGGACUGAGACACGGCCCAGACUCCUACGGGAGGCAGCAGUGGGGAAUAUUGCACAAUGGGCGGAAGCCUGAUGCAGCGACGCCGCGUGCGGGAUGACGGCCUUCGGGUUGUAAACCGCUUUCAGCAGGGACGAAGCGUGAGUGACGGUACUGGCAGAAGAAGCACCGGCUAACUACGUG
This 462-nucleotide ribosomal RNA is filed under the name uncultured bacterium. RNAcentral describes it as "partial 16S ribosomal RNA". It matches the Rfam family "Bacterial small subunit ribosomal RNA", at positions 28 to 507 of the family's 1533-position model. The record is from RNAcentral.